GAUGAAGAACGUAGCGAAAUGCGAUAAGUAAUGUGAAUUGCAGAAUUCAGUGAAUCAUCGAAUCUUUGAACGCACAUUGCGCCCUUUGGUAUUCCAAAGGGCAUGCCUGUUCGAGCGUCAUUUGUACCCUCAAGCUUUGCUUGGUGUUGGGCGUUUUUGUCUUUGGCCCGCCAAAGACUCGCCUUAAAAUGAUUGGCAGCCGGCCUACUGGUUUCGCAGCGCAGCACAUUUUUGCGCUUGCAAUCAGCAAAAGAGGACGGCAAUCCAUCAAGACUCCUUCUCACGUUUGACCUCGGAUCAGGUAGGGAUACCCGCUGAACUUAAGCAUAUCAAUAAGCGGAGGA
This 344-nucleotide unclassified non-coding RNA is filed under the name soil metagenome. RNAcentral describes it as "partial contains 5.8S ribosomal RNA, internal transcribed spacer 2, and large subunit ribosomal RNA". The stretch from base 1 to 120 matches the Rfam family "5.8S ribosomal RNA", at positions 35 to 154 of the family's 154-position model. The record is from RNAcentral.